CGUUGUUUCUUGGAUCUACUCUCUACUUGGAUAACUGUGGUAAUUCUAGAGCUAAUACAUGCAUCAAGACCCGACGCAAGGACGGUCGCAUUUAUUAGAACAAAACCAUCCGGUCCUCGGACCGUUCUCUGGUGACUCUGAAUAACUGAGCAAAUCACAUGGUCUCGCACCAGUGAUGUAUCUUUCAAGUGUCUGCCUUAUCAACUUUCGAUGGUAGUUUAUGUGCCUACCAUGGUUGUAACGGGUAACGGAGAAUCAGGGUUUGACUCCGGAGAGGGAGCCUGAGAAACGGCUACCACUUCUAAGGAAGGCAGCAGGCGCGCAAAUUACCCAUUCUCGGUACGAGGAGGUAGUGACGAUAAAUACCAAGCCGGGGCUCUUAUGAGUUUCGGCAUUGGAAUGAGAACAAUCCAAAUCUUUUAACGAGGAACUAGUGGAGGGCAAGUCUGGUGCCAGCAGCCGCGGUAAUUCCAGCUCCGCAAGUGUAUAUCUAUAUUGCUGAGGUUAAAAAGCUCGUAGUUGGAUCUGCGUGUCUAGCACCUGGUGCGGUCUUUGAUCGUUACUGGGAUGCGACACAUUGACUGUCGGUUGGCCGUUGAUGCUCUUAACCGGGUGUCAUUGGUGACUGACGAGUUUACUUUGAACAAACUAGAGUGCUCAACACAGGCGUUUCGCUUGUAUAUUUCUGCAUGGAAUAAUAGAAUAGGACCUUGGUUCUAUUUUGUUGGUUUUCGGAAUUGAGGUAAUGAUUAAGAGGGACUGACGGGGGCAUUCGUACUGCGACGUGAGAGGUGAAAUUCUUGGAUCGUCGCAAGACGCACUACUGCGAAGGCAUUUGCCAAGAAUGUUUUCAUUAAUCAAGAACGAAAGUAACGGGUUCGAA
This 883-nucleotide ribosomal RNA is filed under the name Nematoda environmental sample. RNAcentral's name for it is "SSU rRNA". It matches the Rfam family "Eukaryotic small subunit ribosomal RNA", at positions 111 to 1002 of the family's 1831-position model. The record is from RNAcentral. Lineage: Eukaryota; Metazoa; Nematoda.